UCGAUUUGGAGUUUGUUGCCUAGAGUGAUGGGCUCUGAAGCUAACGCGAUAAAUCGACCGCCUGGGGAGUACGGCCGCAAGGUUAAAACUCAAAUGAAUUGACGGGGGCCCGCACAAGCGGUGGAGCAUGUGGUUUAAUUCGAUGCAACGCGAAGAACCUUACCUGGUCUUGACAUCCACAGAAUCUUGCAGAGAUGCGAGAGUGCCUUCGGGAACUGUGAGACAGGUGCUGCAUGGCUGUCGUCAGCUCGUGUUGUGAAAUGUUGGGUUAAGUCCCGCAACGAGCGCAACCCUUAUCCUUUGUUGCCAUUGGUUCGGCCGGGAACUCAAAGGAGACUGCCGUUGAUAAAGCGGAGGAAGGUGGGGACGACGUCAAGUCAUCAUGGCCCUUACGACCAGGGCUACACACGUGCUACAAUGGCGUAUACAAAGGGAGGCGACCUCGCGAGAGCAAGCGGACCUCAUAAAGUACGUCUAAGUCCGGAUUGGAGUCUGCAACUCGACUCCAUGAAGUCGGAAUCGCUAGUAAUCGUGAAUCAGAAUGUCACGGUGAAUACGUUCCCGGGCCU
RNAcentral lists this ribosomal RNA (569 nucleotides) under uncultured Gammaproteobacteria bacterium. RNAcentral's name for it is "bacterial SSU rRNA". It matches the Rfam family "Bacterial small subunit ribosomal RNA", at positions 812 to 1381 of the family's 1533-position model. The record is from RNAcentral. Lineage: Bacteria; Pseudomonadati; Pseudomonadota; Gammaproteobacteria.